UGGCGGCGUGCCUAAUACAUGCAAGGUCGAACGCUUCUUUCCUCCCGAGUGCUUGCACUCAAUUGGAAAGAGGAGUGGCGGACGGGUGAGUAACACGUGGGUAACCUACCCAUCAGAGGGGGAUAACACUUGGAAACAGGUGCUAAUACCGCAUAACAGUUUAUGUCGCAUGGCAUAAGAGUGAAAGGCGCUUUCGGGUGUCGCUGAUGGAUGGACCCGCGGUGCAUUAGCUAGUUGGUGAGGUAACGGCUCACCAAGGCCACGAUGCAUAGCCGACCUGAGAGGGUGAUCGGCCACACUGGGACUGAGACACGGCCCAGACUCCUACGGGAGGCAGCAGUAGGGAAUCUUCGGCAAUGGACGAAAGUCUGACCGAGCAACGCCGCGUGAGUGAAGAAGGUUUUCGGAUCGUAAAACUCUGUUGUUAGAGAAGAACAAGGACGUUAGUAACUGAACGUCCCCUGACGGUAUCUAACCAGAAAGCCACGGCUAACUACGUGCCAGCAGCCGCGGUAAUACGUAGGUGGCAAGCGUUGUCCGGAUUUAUUGGGCGUAAAGCGAGCGCAGGCGGUUUCUUAAGUCUGAUGUGAAAGCCCCCGGCUCAACCGGGGAGGGUCAUUGGAAACUGGGAGACUUGAGUGCAGAAGAGGAGAGUGGAAUUCCAUGUGUAGCGGUGAAAUGCGUAGAUAUAUGGAGGAACACCAGUGGCGAAGGCGGCU
Molecule: ribosomal RNA, 719 nt
Filed under: uncultured Bacilli bacterium
Lineage: Bacteria; Bacillati; Bacillota; Bacilli
Description: bacterial SSU rRNA
Rfam family: Bacterial small subunit ribosomal RNA
Source: RNAcentral